GGGUCCCUUUUCUAGACAGAGAGCAUAACUGAUUGAUAGCGACGUCUGUAACUGCCUGGUAGUGGGCCGUUCAGGGCCACGCGAAGUUUGUUAUGGGGAGUAGAGGCAUCAGGGAGCUGUUCUGGGCCACGUGGAGUUUGUUAUGGAGAGUGGAGUGGUGUCCAUUGUUGCGACUUGUCAGAGAGUGGUGGGGCCACGUG
Molecule: long non-coding RNA, 200 nt
Filed under: Elaeis guineensis (African oil palm)
Lineage: Eukaryota; Viridiplantae; Streptophyta; Magnoliopsida; Arecales; Arecaceae
Description: long non-coding RNA (EGUI_LNC081472)
Source: RNAcentral